This 465-nucleotide ribosomal RNA is filed under the name Vreelandella stevensii. RNAcentral's name for it is "partial 16S ribosomal RNA". It matches the Rfam family "Bacterial small subunit ribosomal RNA", at positions 338 to 795 of the family's 1533-position model. The record is from RNAcentral. Lineage: Bacteria; Pseudomonadati; Pseudomonadota; Gammaproteobacteria; Oceanospirillales; Halomonadaceae.
CCUACGGGUGGCUGCAGUGGGGAAUAUUGGACAAUGGGGGGAACCCUGAUCCAGCCAUGCCGCGUGUGUGAAGAAGGCCCUCGGGUUGUAAAGCACUUUCAGUGAGGAAGAACGCCUGGUGGUUAAUACCCAUCAGGAAAGACAUCACUCACAGAAGAAGCACCGGCUAACUCCGUGCCAGCAGCCGCGGUAAUACGGAGGGUGCGAGCGUUAAUCGGAAUUACUGGGCGUAAAGCGCGCGUAGGUGGCUUGAUAAGCCGGUUGUGAAAGCCCCGGGCUCAACCUGGGAACGGCAUCCGGAACUGUCAAGCUAGAGUGCAGGAGAGGAAGGUAGAAUUCCCGGUGUAGCGGUGAAAUGCGUAGAGAUCGGGAGGAAUACCAGUGGCGAAGGCGGCUUUCUGGAAUGAUACUGACACUGAGGUGCGAAAGCGUGGGUAGCAAACAGGAUUAGAUACCCCUGUAGUC